UCCACCCACCACUGUUUGUCUAAAAAAACACCCAACCCUCGAUCCAGAUCCCCUUCUCCCUUCUCCCGAUUCACCCCUCGUCUCCCUCCCAUUCCACGCCGCCGCCGCCGCCCACGACCCUCGACGACCUCCCCACCGACGCCGAGAAAACAGAGUCACCUCUUCUUCUCCUCCCAAAUCCUCCCGCUCCCCCUGCACAUUUCUGCAUGUCCCCGCUCCCUCCCUCGCUCCACCACGGCGGCCUCCCCCGCCGGCGGAUCUGGGACUGGGAGACGCAGCUGCGCUAGUGGUGGUCGGUUGGUUGGUGGCGGACCGGCAGAGCCUCAGUGACCAUCGAUUGGAGGCAAGGGGAUUGAGGGCGGGGAGUCGACGGCGAAAACAGAGGGCGGAGAUCCAUCGGUGGCCAGCAGCAGCAGCUCAGGCACUCAGGAAGGUGCCAAGGAGAUGCUGGACCAAGGCAUGGAGGCAUUGCGAGCUGAAGAGCACAUAACUGCAGAUGCUGGAGGCCGGGCCGGUGAGCCGAGGAUUGGAGGUAGCGCUGAUUGGUGUUUUUAUGGAGAGAUAAGAUGCCGCUGUUUGGUGUUUUUAUGCAUUUUGGUUUGCUUGUAACUGUGUUUGCACUAGCUGUGAGUAAGUGACUUGGCAAGAAGUGUAGAUGUUUUAAUUGAAGGCAUGAAAAGCCAUGACAAUAUGUAUGCUCUUACAUGAUGUGCUAUAAUGCCGCUGGUUUAUUAUAAAUCUUGGAUUAGUAAUGAUGCGUAAUGCUGCUGGUUUA
Molecule: long non-coding RNA, 775 nt
Organism: Triticum dicoccoides
Lineage: Eukaryota; Viridiplantae; Streptophyta; Magnoliopsida; Poales; Poaceae
Exons: 2
Source: RefSeq, a predicted model, not a curated record